Molecule: ribosomal RNA, 490 nt
Filed under: uncultured bacterium
Lineage: Bacteria
Description: partial 16S ribosomal RNA
Rfam family: Bacterial small subunit ribosomal RNA
Source: RNAcentral
GAUGAACGCUAGCUACAGGCUUAACACAUGCAAGUCGAGGGGCAGCGGGAUUGAAGCUUGCUUCAAUUGCCGGCGACCGGCGCACGGGUGAGUAACGCGUAUCCAACCUUCCGUACACUCAGGGAUAGCCUUUCGAAAGAAAGAUUAAUACCUGAUGGUAUGAUGAGAUUGCAUGAUAUCAUCAUUAAAGAUUUAUCGGUGUACGAUGGGGAUGCGUUCCAUUAGGUAGUAGGCGGGGUAACGGCCCACCUAGCCAACGAUGGAUAGGGGUUCUGAGAGGAAGGUCCCCCACAUUGGAACUGAGACACGGUCCAAACUCCUCCGGGAGGCAGCAGUGAGGAAUAUUGGUCAAUGGACGAGAGUCUGAACCAGCCAAGUAGCGUGAAGGAUGAAGGUCCUACGGAUUGUAAACUUCUUUUAUAAGGGAAUAAACCCUCCCACGUGUGGGAGCUUGUAGGUACCUUAUGAAUAAGCAUCGGCUAACUCCGUG